Molecule: non-coding RNA, 70 nt
Organism: Podarcis lilfordi (Lilford's wall lizard)
Lineage: Eukaryota; Metazoa; Chordata; Lepidosauria; Squamata; Lacertidae
Source: the annotation of a GenBank genome assembly
GGUGGUAGCUCAGUGGUAGAGCAUCUGCUUUGCAUGCAGAAGUUCCCAGGAUCAAUUCCCAGUGGCAUCU